Molecule: ribosomal RNA, 301 nt
Filed under: uncultured bacterium
Lineage: Bacteria
Description: partial 16S ribosomal RNA
Rfam family: Bacterial small subunit ribosomal RNA
Source: RNAcentral
CAGUAGCCACGGGAAUACGGAGGGAGCUAGCGUUGUUCGGAAUUACUGGGCGUAAAGCGCGCGUAGGCGGUUACUCAAGUCAGAGGUGAAAGCCCGGGGCUCAACCCCGGAACUGCCUUUGAAACUAGGUGACUAGAAUCUUGGAGAGGUCAGUGGAGUUCCGAGUGUAGAGGUGAAAUUCGUAGAUAUUCGGAAGAACACCAGUGGCGAAGGCGACUGACUGGACAAGUAUUGACGCUGAGGUGCGAAAGCGUGGGGAGCAAACAGGAUUAGAUACCCCGGUAGUCCCUGUCUCUUAUAA